UUUUUUCUGUGCAGCUCCAUUUUCAAAAGCUAUUUGGGGUUCUUAUUUUUUAUGAUUGACACUUGAUACAGCGUAUGGGCGUGCGAAGGUUGCGUAGCGAUACGCUGUUUGAGCCGAGCAUUAUCACAGCGACUCACCCGCCGAAUGCGUACAAUGCCACUGCGCAAGUGGUGGUUCUAGGAAGCGGAGGAAUACCAGAGCAAUUCGGCUUCAAAUUUGUAUGAUGAUGGAAGGUUACCUACCUGGUAGCUAGACAGUAUUGACUUAGUAGUUAUCAUGUAAUUACCAGAUAA
Molecule: non-coding RNA, 293 nt
Organism: Xyrichtys novacula (pearly razorfish)
Lineage: Eukaryota; Metazoa; Chordata; Actinopteri; Labriformes; Labridae
Source: the annotation of a GenBank genome assembly